CUUCUUCCUUAAAUUUGACACCUCAUAAAUGGAGAUUCCAACUUCUUUGGUUCCACAACUAACAGCGUGUUUAAGCGCGUAUAUUUAUAGAUUGGACUUAAAUUCAUUUGUCAAAUAUUUCAAUAAAAUCUCUUUAGAUCAGUCAUCAACAAUAAUCUAGCAUAACUACACUCAUCGCGAUUUUCUACUCUUCAAUGGGAAUAUUAGCUCAUUUUCAAUCAUGGAUUCGUGACAAUGAAAAUGACUUUAAAGUUAAAGAAAUCCAGCAUAUUUGUGGAAUUUAAUAGAAAAAAAAUGACCUUUUCAAUUUGAUAACUUUUUCUUCUUAAUAUCUAAGCUCAAACGGUUGAUGAAAAAGAUGUAUUUACAUUUAAUGUCUAUUAAAUCAAUGAAGGCAUGAUAUCUAUCUUUUUAUAUACUCUAUUUUCUUACAUUAUUUAAUCAAGGUUAGGUAAUAUCUUAGGUUAAUAAAAUGUUUGAAGACUUACAAAAAUCGAAAACUUAAAAUGUUGCCAAAAUUUACUAAAAUUACUAAAAAGUAGUUUGGUGCGAAAACAGUUGUUUUGCCGAACUCCUGCAAAAAAACUCUUGUUUGGAUAUUUGGAAGCAAAUGCUAAUUCCUCAAGUUAGAGGAAAUUAUUUCCUUUGAGAAACGAAUGAUUGCCUUGAGCUCCCCGCUUAUGAGAAAUUGUUUUUUAAAAGAUUUUGAUUUCCAGUGUCAACAACCACUUGUGUGUUGCCACGUCAAUUGGGUUGGAGCUGUAUGUUUUUAUCCAAAAAUUGCUGAAAUCUCUGUUCGACCCAACGCCACUCACAUGUCUUAUAUAUUUUCCCCAAUUCAACCGUUUUUAUUAGUGUUUCAUUUUGGUACAGCUUUUCCCCUUCCAAGCGAUCUCCCAUUCCUUUCUAGCUUGCUAUACGGACCAUCGGACAAAAGAAAGAGGAAGGUUCAUUUCACAACUCACAAGGACAGAGAAGAAAAUGGGUCAUCACCAUCACCACCACCACCGUGAAGGUGCCAGUCCAUGUGAUGAUCCCUUCCUGGGCCCUGGCAUGUUGUUGCUGCCCUUGUUUCUUAGUAGCCUCUGUGUUCUCUAUGUUUACGAGGUGCAUCUUUAUGGCUCGUUACCCUUUUCUGCAGUGUUUUGGAUGGGAUGAUCGCAGACACCACCACAGCCAUUUCUUAUAACCCCAAUUUUUAUUUUUGUGGUCUCCAAACUCUAGCAAGACAAGGUUCUGAUCCUUUUCAGAGGAUUGUCAGCAUUUCAAUUUGGUUGUUUGUGUAUAAUUUACCUUGUACCAGUUAAAUUUUGAGUUGUUGUUUGUUCACUCCGAGGAAAAAUAGAAUCUUUCAACCAUAUGUUGUUGUAUAUUUGUCCUCUGUCCUACAAUACUUGUCCAUAUUACUAAAUACAGUUGUCCAAUGUACUACAACACUUUUGAAAAAACAAUGAAUAAUUUAUCUAUUUCUAUUCAUUUUA
This is a long non-coding RNA of Capsicum annuum, 1481 nucleotides long. RefSeq lists it as uncharacterized. The record is from RefSeq and is a predicted model, not a curated record. Lineage: Eukaryota; Viridiplantae; Streptophyta; Magnoliopsida; Solanales; Solanaceae. The transcript has 2 exons.